AUGUUUGAUGUUCUAACGUGGACCCGUAAUCCGGGUUGCGGACAGUGUCUGGUGGGUAGUUUGACUGGGGCGGUCUCCUCCUAAAGAGUAACGGAGGAGCACGAAGGUUGGCUAAUCCUGGUCGGACAUCAGGAGGUUAGUGCAAUGGCAUAAGCCAGCUUGACUGCGAGCGUGACGGCGCGAGCAGGUGCGAAAGCAGGUCAUAGUGAUCCGGUGGUUCUGAAUGGAAGGGCCAUCGCUCAACGGAUAAAAGGUACUCCGGGGAUAACAGGCUGAUACCGCCCAAGAGUUCAUAUCGACGGCGGUGUUUGGCACCUCGAUGUCGGCUCAUCACAUCCUGGGGCUGAAGUAGGUCCCAAGGGUAUGGCUGUUCGCCAUUUAAAGUGGUACGCGAGCUGGGUUUAGAACGUCGUGAGACAGUUCGGUCCCUAUCUGCCGUGGGCGCUGGAGAACUGAGGGGGGCUGCUCCUAGUACGAGAGGACCGGAGUGGACGCAUCACUGGUGUUCGGGUUGUCAUGCCAAUGGCACUGCCCGGUAGCUAAAUGCG
Molecule: ribosomal RNA, 548 nt
Filed under: Salmonella enterica
Lineage: Bacteria; Pseudomonadati; Pseudomonadota; Gammaproteobacteria; Enterobacterales; Enterobacteriaceae
Description: partial 23S ribosomal RNA
Rfam family: Bacterial large subunit ribosomal RNA
Source: RNAcentral